Molecule: ribosomal RNA, 497 nt
Filed under: uncultured bacterium
Lineage: Bacteria
Description: partial 16S ribosomal RNA
Rfam family: Bacterial small subunit ribosomal RNA
Source: RNAcentral
GAUGAACGCUGGCGGCGUGCCUAAUACAUGCAAGUCGAGCGAACAGACGAGGAGCUUGCUCCUCUGACGUUAGCGGCGGACGGGUGAGUAACACGUGGAUAACCUACCUAUAAGACUGGGAUAACUUCGGGAAACCGGAGCUAAUACCGGAUAACAUGUUGAACCGCAUGGUUCAACAGUGAAAGACGGUCUUGCUGUCACUUAUAGAUGGAUCCGCGCCGCAUUAGCUAGUUGGUAAGGUAACGGCUUACCAAGGCAACGAUGUGUAGCCGACCUGAGAGGGUGAUCGGCCACACUGGAACUGAGACACGGUCCAGACUCCUACGGGAGGCAGCAGUAGGGAAUCUUCCGCAAUGGGCGAAAGCCUGACGGAGCAACGCCGCGUGAGUGAAGAAGGUCUUCGGAUCGUAAAACUCUGUUAUUAGGGAAGAACAAAUGUGUAAGUAACUAUGCACGACUUGACGGUACCUAAUCAGAAAGCCACGGCUAACUACGUG